UAUGACACCUGAUGCAGAAUGAUAU
Molecule: microRNA, 25 nt
Filed under: Pristionchus pacificus
Lineage: Eukaryota; Metazoa; Nematoda; Chromadorea; Rhabditida; Neodiplogasteridae
Description: ppc-miR-8213-5p
Source: miRBase by way of RNAcentral